This 445-nucleotide ribosomal RNA is filed under the name Serratia symbiotica. RNAcentral describes it as "bacterial SSU rRNA". It matches the Rfam family "Bacterial small subunit ribosomal RNA", at positions 19 to 461 of the family's 1533-position model. Lineage: Bacteria; Pseudomonadati; Pseudomonadota; Gammaproteobacteria; Enterobacterales; Yersiniaceae. The record is from RNAcentral.
AUGGCUCAGAUUAAACGCUGGCGGCAGGCCUAACACAUGCAAGUCGAGCGGUAGCACAAGAGAGCUUGCUCUCUGGGUGACGAGCGGCGGACGGGUGAGUAAUGUUUGGGAAACUGCCUGAUGGUGGGGGAUAACUAGUGGAAACGGUAGCUAAUACCGCAUAAUGUCGCAAGACCAAAGUGGGGGACCUUCGGGCCUCACGCCAUCAGAUGUGCCCAGAUGGGAUUAGCUGUUAGGUGGGGUAAUGGCUCACCUAGGCGACGAUCCCUAGCUGGUCUGAGAGGAUGACCAGCCACACUGGAACUGAGACACGGUCCAGACUCCUACGGGAGGCAGCAGUGGGGAAUAUUGCACAAUGGGCGCAAGCCUGAUGCAGCCAUGCCGCGUGUGUGAAGAAGGCCUUCGGGUUGUAAAGCACUUUCACGAGGAGGAAGGGUAAUGUGUU